AUGAACACUCUUUUUUUUUUUUUUGAGAUGGAGUUUGGCUCUUGUUACCCAGGCUGGAGUGCAAUGGCGCGAUCUCAGCUCACCGCAACCUCCACCUCCUGGGUUCAGGCCAUUCUCCUGCCUCAGCCUCCUGAGUAGCUGGGAUUACAGGCAAGCACCACCAUGCCCAGCUAAUUUUUUGUAUUUUUAGUAGAGACAGGGUUUCACCAUGUUGACCAGGAUGGUCUCAAUCUCUUGACAUAGUGAUCCACCCGCCUUGGCCUCCCAAAGUGCUGGGAUUACAGGCUUGAGCCACCGCACCUGGCCCGUCAUGAACACUCUUCUAGCCUCUCCUUCUAUUAUCCCAGUUUCUCACGAGAGGUUGUUUAUGAUCCACCACCCACCAGGCCACUCCUCGUCCCUAUUGCCUGGCUUCUGUCCCCGCUGCCUCCUGUAGCUCAUGGAGCCUUUCCUCACCUUGGUCUUUUGUUUUCUUUCCUUUCUGUAGCUCUCCACAUUGUCACUCAGAUUCUGGCUUUGAAAACUGUGUUCCGUAGGUUUCUCUGAUGUGAGACUCUUCUGGGUUUCCCUUCUCAGCUCUGACUUUCUAAAUCAUCCUCAGGCUCAUCUUCUGUCUUCAGCCAUUUCUCAAACGGAGAUGCUCCAAAACAGAGCACUGUUCAUGGCUCACUUUCCUUCACUGCCACAAGAUCUUUGGGAACUGUAUUCAGUUUGACAAAUAUCAGAGACAUCUAGGAGUGUCCAGUUACUGGCUUCAUGUGGACACUCCUAAAUGUCUCUGUCUGUCUCCAUCUCCCUGGACCUCUGUGUAACUAACCUCUAAGCUGUGUGUGCCUCGGGCGGCUGUGAUGGUGUGAUUUCUGUGCAUUGUUUUAAGCGUUUUCUCCUCCUCUUAGUUUCCGCUGCCACUGCCCUAGUUCUGCCUCCUGUUCUUUGUCCCGGAUACAGCGACAGUCUCCAGGCUGGCUCACCUGACUCCACCUCAAGUCCCGAAACUCCUUGUGGAGGGCUGUCGCUCCCCUCCACCAGAAGCCCACAUGUGAUGAUGCCACUUCCCUGUUUGUCAACACUCAAUGGCAGAAGACGGUCUGAUUCCUGGGCUUGUUGCUAAACACCCUCCAUCAUUUCUCAACUUUCCCUCUCUCCAGUCUUUUCCAUGCAAUUACAGCUGCAAUUUCUGUUCGAAGACGUUACUCAUGCUGUUUCCUCAGCCUAGAAUAUAUCUCUCCCAUCUGCCCAGGGUCUGAAGUCCAAGUGAAAUGUCUUACGAAACCUCGUCUCACCUCUAAAGCCAGGCUUCCGGGAACAUUUCAUCGGAAUGACUCUCACGUCUCUGCGUAUGUAACUUUGCUAACUUGACUGCAGCCUCUUUACGGACAAAAACUUUGCGGCAAUGUGCCACCCGCUAAAGAAUAGGAGUGUUUUACAUGCUGCGACUUACAUCGAGAUUGCACAAUUCCUGUUGCUGAAGCAACUGUGAGCAGGGAAAGAGAACCAGGGAAGUGUUAGCAUCUUUGUUCUGACCACCUUCUGUGUCCAAGAACACUCAGGCCUGCCUGAAGAAAUGAAGGGGCCGUUCAAAGGAAGAAGCGAGAUUUUCUAAACAGGCUAUAAAAGAAACCUCCACACCGGGGAAAAUGAGACAGAGAAACUGACAUCUUACAAUCACUCUUAACGGGUCCACUUGUGUUUUGUUGUUUGUUUGUGUAAGGUUACUUUGACCAGAAGCCACAAUCUCUGAACUAGAUAAGAUCUCAGGAGUAAGCAGAGUAGACCCAUUGCCUGGGCUGAGAACUGAAAUGCACACCGUGCUUUGGAUCAGGGAUGAUUCGGGUAUCGGAGAUUGGAAAUAAAACAUUCAAAAAGCCCAUUUAUCUUCGGAUCCACUGUGACCCACAGACCAAAGCCUGGGUUAUGAGUUAAAAAGGAUGGGAUCCCUCAGUGGAAAUAGAGCCUGGGGAAGCACAGCCCCUCCCCCUCCCCUUCCCACCUCCUCCUUUUCCUCCUCUUCCUUCACCUCCUCCUCCUUUUCCUCCUCUUCCUCCUCCUCCUCCUCCUCCUUUUCCUCCUCUUCUUCCUCCUCUUCCUCUUCCUCCUCCUCCUCCUUUUCCUCCUCUUCUUCCUCCUCUUCCUCUUCCUCCUCCUCCUCCUCCUCCUGUGAUGGGUGCUGCUCAGAUCUCCCUGGUAUCCCAGGCCAGGUCUCAGGAAACCCUGAUUCCAUCUGCGGCUCACCUGCCUCCUAGCAUCCCAUCCCUUCCUGCUUCCCAUUAUGCACCCCAGCAGCUGCUCACCACUCCUCAGCACCCAGAGCUUUUACACAACCCUGGGGCUAUCAGAGAAUGCCUCGGUGGCAUUCCACCAGAAAUGACUGUUACCACUAUCACUCAGGAGCAGUAGAGUCACAGGUGGCUGGGGGUGGUGGUGGUCAUAUCUUUAGCUACUCCACCCAGCCUUCACAGGUCCCACUUUCCCCCAAGCCAACCCCAAAUAAAUGUAUCAUCUGAGUAAAAACUCUGCGCACUCUGCAAACAAACAUAGCUCCAAGGGAAGUCUCUUUAGGUCCCUCCCAACCAGACAGGCCCGUCCCUAAGAGAUUUGGGGGCUGACAUUAUUCCCCAAGCUUUAAAGUGAACACUUCUUCCCUUCCCAGCUCAAACCUAAAUAUCUUAGAAGGGCAGACCUGAACUCGGCAGAAAAUACCAGUCCAGUUCUCCCUUUUCCUAGUGGUCAAACAGGUAUCAGCGACCAUUUCUAAGAGGUAUGGAGUUCUGGGUUAGGAAACAGGAUGAGAGGUUAAAAAAAUUCACCUACUGAAAAUUAAGAAAGUUUUUAAUCAUACAAAAGUAGAUGAUGCAGCAACAGGGCCCUGUGGAAAGUCUGGGAGACCUGGCUGACAUUUUGGCUCUGUGACAACAAGCUGUCCUGUGUGUGACAAUGAGCUGUCCUGUGUGUGACAACGAGCUGUCCUGUGGACACACAUUUCGUCUUUCUGAGCCUUAUCAUCAAAAGGUGGAAAUACACCCUCUUAUGUUUGCUGUGAGGACUCAGGGAGAGGGUUGAAGCAAAGCAGCUACUGUCCUAGGCACCUCAGGUGGCAGCAGUGGCAUUAGCGGUGCUAACAGUACCCGUGAUGAUGACGAUGAUGGAGACAGUGAUUAGCUGUUUUCACCUUGAAUGAGAAUGGAAGAAACUGACAAACUCUUCUGAGAGGUUUAAGUUGAGUAUAUGAAAAAGUUUCCUGAGUGCGAUGAUGGACAAACUCUGCGCAAAUCUGGGAUUCUCCUGAGAUGGCCCCUAAAAUAGAGACCCUUGCUUUCUAGUUAGCGAUGGCUUUGGUACGGGUUAGCCCAAGGGCAAUGAGAUAGACAGGUUCAUUUUGAAGGCACUUGCUUGCGCGAUGAUUCUACUCAUUCUCUCUAGGGUAAAAACAAAGUGAUAUUCCACAGAAUCAGGUGUCUGCGACUCCGUGACCGGGCACUGGGAACACGAAGCUUUGGGUCACAUUUGGAAGUUCCCACUUCUCACUUCUGUGUCCAGACAGAAAAGCAAAGUGAUCCUCUAAAACAAGCUUGUCCAGCCCACAGCCCAUAGGUGCAUGUGGCCCAGGAUGGCUUCCCACAGCCCAUAGGUGCAUGCGGCCCAGGAUGGCUUUGAAUGUGGCCCAAAACAAAUUCGUAAACUUUCUUAAAACUUUAUGAGAUUUUUUUGCAUUUUUUUUUUUAGCUCAUCAGCUAUCAUUGGCGUAUUUUUCUUCCUUUUUUUUUUUUGAGAUGAAGUCAUGUUCUUGUUGUCCAGGCUGGAUGGAGUGCAGUGGCGCAAUCUCGGCUCACGGCAACCUCCGCCUCCCAGGUUCAAGUGAUUCUCCUGCCUCAGCUGCCCGAGUAGCCGGGACUACAGGCGCCUGCCACCAUACCCAGCUAAUUUUUUGUAUUUUUAGUAGAGAUGGGGUUUCACCAUGUUAGCCAGGCUGGUCUUAAAGUCCUGACCUCAGGCAAUACACCCGCCUUGGCCUCCCAAAGUGCUGGGAUUACAGAUGUGAGCCGCCACUCCUGUCCUCAUUAAUGUGUUUUACGUGUGGCCCAAGACAAUUCUUCCAAUGUGGCCCAGAGAAGCCAAAAGAUUGGGCAUCCCUGCUCUAAAGUAAUCAUGAAAGGACAUUCUACCUAACAAACCAAUUCCAGCUGAGUAGAAUUGUUUGAGAAAGUACCGUGCACGGCCACACACUUGUGAAUCAUGCAUUUUCUUGCACAGGGUAGUCAAAGAACGACUUGAUUGCUUCAGAUUUUGUGCCUUGAGACGUAGACGUGCAGCUGGUCCGUGCUCCAGGGAGCCCCACCGUCCUGCAGGAUUUAAUUCUCCUUUACCGCUGAAGCCCAGAGCCCAGAAGUUUUUCGGCUAUGGAGACAACAAGGCGUCAACACUAACUCCAAGUCUGUAACUAGGAACUUAGGAGGCGCCCGCUGAAUAGAGGUGAAAACUCCCGGGCUGGGAACUUGCAGACACCCAUAGGGUCGCCCUCCUGGUUUUCAGUGUGGAGAGAGUGACCUUGGAAAUAUUUCCUAUGGAAAGGGAAGCAGCAACUUCAGCUAUACCCACGUGCUGGUGGCCUUGAGGCAAAAAUCAUACGUGAUGUGUGGGGAGAUGGGAGAGCAAAACGCUGGUGAUUCUCGCCUCAGUGAGGGCGCCGGCUUGCUGCAGGGCUCAAAAGCCUCAAGAGAUGGUCUAGAGGGGAAACCACCUGUGCCUCUAAGGGCGACGCUCAGGCUUCAAUGUCUGAAAUGGCUUGCAGUACCUUCAUAGCCCAGGCCGUGAAUCCCUGUGGUUUUGGCCUGCAUGGGAGGAGAUCAGGAGUGGAAGGUCUUCCUCCAAAUGCCAAGACCUACCUGUUAUUUUUGAAUUUGUUUUUAAUUGGUUGAUAAAUGAAAUAGAGGUUUAUAUUGUAAAGAAAUUUUGAGGUAAUCUAGACCAAUCCACUGUUUUUAUUUUUAAAAUCACUUAGUUUUCUGAUGAUGCAGUUCCUUAUGGAAGACAGGGCGAACAGGGAUAAAGAGAACCGAUCCUGUAUAAUCUCCCUCCUCAGAAAUGGCCAUCAGUGCCACUUAGGUGCAUCUCCUAAUGUGCGUAUUCAAACGAGCACAUAUUAUUACAUAAUUAAGACUGUGUUAUAUGGUUUUAUACCUUGUUUUUUAACUUAAUUUUAUAUCACGAUGAUUUCAUCAUGUCCUUAGAUAUUCUUCACUCAUUUAAAUAGUGAUUUACUAUACCAUUAUGAGAAUAAAACAUAAUUCCUUUAGCCAUUUCCAUAUUGGUAGACAUUUAACUUAUUUUCAUUUUUUGCUAUUAUUAAAAACAGAUUUAAAAUAUCGAGGCAUUUGAGUCUCUUUCUACCUGCAAUAUUUCCUUAGGUUUAACUCCUAGAGUUAAAAUGAUUAGGUCAGGUUUUUGAAUAUUUUAAAACCUAAUUGGCAUACCAGUCUCUGUUUUAGAGAUUCAUAAUUGAGGCCAAUGACAUUCAGAAUUUGCUGGAGACCGCAUAGUUCCUAGUGUCAGAGUCCUGAGCCCGGCUCCCCAACCCGCCGGGGUGGGCUCUCACAGGUGUUUCAGGAUCCAGCAGAAGGUCAAGAGAGCAAGAAACUGUGUUAAUUGAUGAACGCUGCAUUCUUCUUCGCAGAAAAGUCCACAAAAGCGUCUACUCAUCCUCAGGUUGUGUGUUCGUGUGUGUGUGUGUGCUUGUGUGUGUACACAUGUGCAUGUGUGUACACUAACACAAAUUACUCCAAGGCCCGAAUCAGAGAGGUUUCUUUGGGGCAACUUGCUGUUUACCCUAAUGCUUAGCAAUGUCAUUUCUGGCAAUGAAAAUAAAGUAACAAACACGCUUCCA
Molecule: long non-coding RNA, 5881 nt
Organism: Callithrix jacchus (white-tufted-ear marmoset)
Lineage: Eukaryota; Metazoa; Chordata; Mammalia; Primates; Cebidae
Source: RefSeq, a predicted model, not a curated record